AAAAGACAAAGGGAGAUACUUUACAUUGGUUCUACAUUGUUUAUUGAACAACAUAACUAUAAUAAUUCAGACAUUUGAUUAUUCUGGGGUUUUUUUUAGACUCGACUUGAGUUGAAAAAACGCCCAGAGAGUGAUUUUGAUAAUCCGGCUCGUGGAGGUUUGAUUGACAGAUUUGGAUGUCACUGCUGGCUGACACGAAGUUCCCGGUGGCGGUUAGUAUAUCUGGCAAUCCGGGAGAAAACGUGUCAUUCUGCAGCGACAUCAAUACAAUUUCUCCCCUUAAAAGUGUGAAAUGAAUGAACAGCACCAAAUCGACUUAAAGGGAAGCGAAUAAAAGCAGAAGCUUGUGAAGUUGAAAAGCAAUGCGUACAAGCUUGAAGAAAACGAAAGGGGAAUACUCGUACCGGUGAAUAAAAGAGACACGACAAGAGAAUAACUUUCAAACAACAAACGAAAGAAAACAGAUGUCAAGAGUAACAAGCUAAGCAACACGUACACCGCGUAGAAAUAUCACAUUUAAAAGUGGCAAGAGAGUUACCUUGAAGGCACAACAACUCUUACCCGUCCUGGCCAUUCUCACUUCUCCC
This is a long non-coding RNA of Ictalurus punctatus (channel catfish), 587 nucleotides long. Lineage: Eukaryota; Metazoa; Chordata; Actinopteri; Siluriformes; Ictaluridae. The record is from Ensembl.